GAUGAACGCUGGCGGCGUGCCUAAUACAUGCAAGUCGAGCGAACGGACGAGAAGCUUGCUUUUCUGAUGUUAGCGGCGGACGGGUGAGUAACACGUGGAUAACCUACCUAUAAGACUGGGAUAACUUCGGGAAACCGGAGCUAAUACCGGAUAAUAUUUUGAACCGCAUGGUUCAAAAGUGAAAGACGGUCUUGCUGUCACUUAUAGAUGGAUCCGCGCUGCAUUAGCUAGUUGGUAAGGUAACGGCUUACCAAGGCAACGAUGCAUAGCCGACCUGAGAGGGUGAUCGGCCACACUGGAACUGAGACACGGUCCAGACUCCCACGGGAGGCAGCAGUAGGGAAUCUUCCGCAAAGGGCGAAAGCCUGACGGAGCAACGCCGCGUGAGUGAUGAAGGUCUUCGGAUCGUAAAACUCUGUUAUUAGGGAAGAACAUAUGUGUAAGUAACUGUGCACAUCUUGACGGUACCUAAUCAGAAAGCCACGGCUAACUACGUG
Molecule: ribosomal RNA, 497 nt
Filed under: uncultured bacterium
Lineage: Bacteria
Description: partial 16S ribosomal RNA
Rfam family: Bacterial small subunit ribosomal RNA
Source: RNAcentral